GAAGGUUUUAGCCAGCAGCGAGUGAAGAAAAUGGCGAUCAUGCAGGACGAAUUCCUCCCCUCGUAGAUGCUGCAAACGCGCUGAAUUUCUUUUAGCCUUACAGUCGGCUUUCCUUUCCACUCUGUUGCACUUUAUACUUCAAUGAGAGAUUCGGAAUUGGAAGCUGUUGCCACCAAAGAAACUGAAGCAUCUUAACAGCCCUCCCUCUGUCUCAAGAUGGAAAAACCAAAAAGCACAGGCUUAAUAGUGGAAUCAACUG
Molecule: long non-coding RNA, 259 nt
Organism: Seriola dumerili (greater amberjack)
Lineage: Eukaryota; Metazoa; Chordata; Actinopteri; Carangiformes; Carangidae
Exons: 3
Source: RefSeq, a predicted model, not a curated record